UUGAGUAGCCGUGGAGCAGUAUUCUAGUUUGAAUUGCGCUAUGAGGACGGGCCUAAAAAUCCGUUAAAGAGCAUACCUGUGAAACGUCUUGUGCCUGCUUCUUUCGCCCAGAUUGGGGUGGGUGCUGGAUAUGAGUUUGCUGGGCUAGCUGUAAUGGCAUACAGAUUAUACGACCCAUCAAUACGCGGAGACUUAAGUUCGUGCAAAACGAAUGAUUUUGUACGGCUUAAGAUUAAACCUACUAUGUGGCUAACGCUAUGAGUAGUGUAGCUUGCCUUGAGUGAGAGUAUUGGGAAGGUGGAUCAGGCGAUUUAAUCUAGGCAUAGAUUGACCGCUAUUGCUACCUGAAAUUUCUUUUGCAAAAAAGUGCUAAUAGUGAUUUGUUCAUUUGAAGAAAUUUCCUAGACUGUAGCUUUUAUGGAAUUGCAGUGCGUUCUAAGUGGCAAUCAAGUAAUGCUUUCGGUAACGAAGCAUGCCUUUUCUUAAAUGGGAACGGCCCUAUGGUAACAGAAGGUGAAAAGGUGGGAAAUCCAACUUGACCUAAGACGCAAAGUUUGUCAUAAAAGAUUCCA
RNAcentral lists this small RNA (572 nucleotides) under chicken gut metagenome. The record is from RNAcentral.